This 233-nucleotide unclassified non-coding RNA is filed under the name plant metagenome. RNAcentral's name for it is "partial contains small subunit ribosomal RNA, internal transcribed spacer 1, and 5.8S ribosomal RNA". The record is from RNAcentral.
UUUCCGUGGGUGAACCUGCGGAAGGAUCAUUAUUGGAUUUUGAAACUUCAGGCUGCUGCUGGCUCUCCUCGGAGGGCAUGUGCACGCUUGUUGUCCAUUAUUUCUCCCACUGUGCACAAAUUGUAGACCUUUCAGUAGGCCUAUGUUGUUUUUCACAAUCUCUGAAUGUAAUAGAAUGGUUUUGAAUCUUGGGAAAUACAAUACAACUUUCAGCAACGGAUCUCUUGGCUCUC